GAAGUGAUGGCUCAGCGGUAGACUUCUUGCCUUCCAUGCAGGAAGCCUGGGUUUGAUUCCCAGCCAGUGCA
This 71-nucleotide transfer RNA is filed under the name Loxodonta africana (African savanna elephant). It matches the Rfam family "tRNA". Rfam says of the family: Transfer RNA (tRNA) molecules are approximately 80 nucleotides in length. Their secondary structure includes four short double-helical elements and three loops (D, anti-codon, and T loops). Lineage: Eukaryota; Metazoa; Chordata; Mammalia; Proboscidea; Elephantidae. The record is from Rfam by way of RNAcentral.